GGUUAGCAUCACAGCCUAGAGUUAAAAUCUGCAACACUACCUUUUCCUCUAGUUACGCCUCUGACACGGGCGUAGUCUCAUAUAUAGAUGUGUGUAUAUAUAUAUAUAUAUAUAUAUAUGUGCCUCUUGUCACAUUGUGUUUGUUAUUACUUAUAUGUGCUAACCUGCACUGAGCUUUGUAAUUAAAAAAAUAAGCAAACACUUGUUUUGAUGUUCGAAGUUUCUAACAUCAAGUGUUUAUGUGUGUAGUAUAGUUGGAUGCCGCGUAUCAAUGUAAUUUGAGGUGUCUUAUCACUCUGACUGCCUCCCGUGUUUCUGUCUAUUUGUCGAGUAAAUGUGAAACCGUCAGCAACAUAAAACCCGUCUAUCGUGACAACACAUCACAGAACAAGCUGGGUCACAUUUGGAAAUAGGUGUUGUUAUCUCCGGCACUUGAUCAGAAAUGUCGCCGCAGGCCGUCGUGCAGAUAUCAAUCAACCCAAACGAUUACAAAGAUGGUAUUUACGAUAUUUUAAAACUGGUGCGGCCCUCCUGGCAGCAGGAUUCCAUAUUCUUCAAAGUUUUCAGUGAAGGAAUUACCAAUCAGUUGGUGGGUUGCUACCAAAAUGAUUCACACAGUGACAUGGUCCUUGUUCGCCUCUAUGGGAAAAACACCGAGCUUCUUAUUGACCGCAAAUUAGAGUAUUUAUCCAUGACCCUCCUGAAUUCAAAAGGUAUGGCUCCAGACGUUUACUGCUGCUUCAGCAAUGGUAUGUGUUACGGUUAUCAACAGGGACGGCCCAUCAACGUACAUGAAGUGUGUGAUCCAAAAAUUAGCGGUCUGAUUACACAAGAAAUGGUCCGCUUACAUAGCAUCAAAGCUAGUGAAGUUGAUGAUUUGCAAACUUACAGUGUGUUCUUCAAAGGUGAACCAAUUCUGCUCAAGAAAAUGAAGAGCAUGCUACAGAUUAUUCCAAAUAAAUUUGAAGACAGCCAGACACAACAAAGGUACACAUCUGAGAUUUUGGAUAAAAUAAACCUGUGGGAUGAGUUCAAUGACCUCUGCAAGGUAUUUGAGAAUUGCGAUGUGCCCGUAGCCAUCUGCCAUAAUGAUCUGCUCUUAAACAACAUCAUCUACAAUGCCAAAACAGAUUCAAUUUCCUUCAUAGAUUUUGAAUAUACCUAUGAGAACUACAUUGCCUAUGACAUUGCCAACCAUUUCUGUGAAUAUGCUGGAGUUGAUGAAGCUGACUUCUCUCGUUGUCCCAAUGAAGCAUAUCAACUGAAAUGGAUAAAGAACUAUCUAGAACUUUACAAGAAAAUGGCCUCUCCACAAGGUUCUAAAACUCAUGCUGUCACUGAUGAAGAAGUUAGACACAUGUAUAUCUGGGUUAGCAAAUUUUUUGCAUUAUGGUAUUCUCCGCCUCAAUGAAUAUCUUCGCUGUAAGCACUUCCUCUACGUACAGCUGCCUAAUUCGAACAAUCCCUCUUAGCGAAACAUUGACUAAGAUUACUUGGAGAACUGUUU
This 1507-nucleotide unclassified non-coding RNA is filed under the name Octopus sinensis (East Asian common octopus). RNAcentral describes it as "probable ethanolamine kinase, transcript variant X2". Lineage: Eukaryota; Metazoa; Mollusca; Cephalopoda; Octopoda; Octopodidae. The record is from RNAcentral.